UACGUAGGGGGCCAGCGUUGUUCGGAAUUACUGGGUGUAAAGGGUUCGUAGGCGGUGUAGCAAGUCGGGAGUGAAAUCUCUGGGCUUAACCCAGAGGCUGCUUCCGAAACUGCUGUGCUUGAGAGUGGGAGAGGCGCGUGGAAUUGCAGGUGUAGCGGUGAAAUGCGUAGAUAUCUGCAGGAACACCCGUGGCGAAGGCGGAUCUCUGGGCCUUACCUGACGCUGAGGCGCGAAAGCUAGGGGAGCGAACAGG
This 253-nucleotide ribosomal RNA is filed under the name uncultured bacterium. Its description in RNAcentral is "partial 16S ribosomal RNA". It matches the Rfam family "Bacterial small subunit ribosomal RNA", at positions 524 to 776 of the family's 1533-position model. The record is from RNAcentral.